AGUCGAACGAUGAACCUCUUCGGAGGGGAUAGUGGCGAACGGGUGAGUAACACGUGGGCAAUCUGCCCUGCACUCUGGGACAAGCCCUGGAAACGGGGUCUAAUACCGGAUACGACCAUCUCGGGCAUCCGAUGGUGGUGGAAAGCUCCGGCGGUGCAGGAUGAGCCCGCGGCCUAUCAGCUUGUUGGUGGGGUGAUGGCCUACCAAGGCGACGACGGGUAGCCGGCCUGAGAGGGCGACCGGCCACACUGGGACUGAGACACGGCCCAGACUCCUACGGGAGGCAGCAGUGGGGAAUAUUGCACAAUGGGCGGAAGCCUGAUGCAGCGACGCCGCGUGAGGGAUGACGGCCUUCGGGUUGUAAACCUCUUUCAGCAGGGAAGAAGCGCAAGUGACGGUACCUGCAGAAGAAGCACCGGCUAACUACGUGCCAGCAGCCGCGGUAAU
Molecule: ribosomal RNA, 447 nt
Filed under: Streptomyces chungwhensis
Lineage: Bacteria; Bacillati; Actinomycetota; Actinomycetes; Kitasatosporales; Streptomycetaceae
Description: bacterial SSU rRNA
Rfam family: Bacterial small subunit ribosomal RNA
Source: RNAcentral